AACAUUUGAAGAUGUUGCGUUGCUGACUUUAAAGAUGCAGAGAAGAGUAGCAUGACCCUUGGGCAACGAUGACACACACACAUUCGUGAUCCGUUCCAUGUUUAC
Non-coding RNA from Myotis davidii, 105 nucleotides. Lineage: Eukaryota; Metazoa; Chordata; Mammalia; Chiroptera; Vespertilionidae. The record is from Rfam.